GUAACGCCCCGAAAAUUUUGGAAUAAAAAUAUAUUUGUCUUAUAUGUUAUAGUUUUAAAAUUUGAGGACUGAAAUGAAAUAGCGUUUAAAGUCAUAUUUUAUUUGGCACCAAUAAUUACAUUUUGAUAGAAUGAGUAUAAGUAUAUCAAUAUUGGGCUCAUUUUGUAGCUCGCAUUUAAUAACGUAUUUUCAGCUCAAGAAAAUAUGAGUUCUUUUAAGUUAAAACUAAGUUAUUUCAAUUCAAAGAAACAUAGA
Molecule: long non-coding RNA, 255 nt
Filed under: Olea europaea (common olive)
Lineage: Eukaryota; Viridiplantae; Streptophyta; Magnoliopsida; Lamiales; Oleaceae
Description: long non-coding RNA (OEUR_LNC005329)
Source: RNAcentral